Molecule: ribosomal RNA, 454 nt
Filed under: Klebsiella pneumoniae
Lineage: Bacteria; Pseudomonadati; Pseudomonadota; Gammaproteobacteria; Enterobacterales; Enterobacteriaceae
Description: bacterial SSU rRNA
Rfam family: Bacterial small subunit ribosomal RNA
Source: RNAcentral
GCGGGCCCAACACAUUGCAAGUUCGAGCGGUAGCACAGAGAGCUUGCUCUCGGGUGACGAGCGGCGGACGGGUGAGUAAUGUCUGGGAAACUGCCUGAUGGAGGGGGAUAACUACUGGAAACGGUAGCUAAUACCGCAUAAUGUCGCAAGACCAAAGUGGGGGACCUUCGGGCCUCAUGCCAUCAGAUGUGCCCAGAUGGGAUUAGCUAGUAGGUGGGGUAACGGCUCACCUAGGCGACGAUCCCUAGCUGGUCUGAGAGGAUGACCAGCCACACUGGAACUGAGACACGGUCCAGUCUCCUACGGGACGCAGCAGUGGGGAAUAUUGCACAAUGGGCGCAAGCCUGAUGAUGCAGCCAUGCCGCGUGUAUGAAGAAGGCCUUCGGGUUGUAAAGUACUUUCAGCGGGGAGGAAGGCGAUAAGGUUAAUAACCUUGUCGAUUGACGUUACCCGC